GGAAUCCAGUCCAUGAGCCACGGUGAGACCUGUUCUGGGUAGAUGUUGAACUUGUUGGUGGCAUCCAUGGAGUACUCUUCUGUUUUGUAACGGUUUUUUGAGCUUUCAUUCGCAGUUAUCAUCUCACGAGAGCACCGAAGAGCUGAGUAGAACAAAGCCUGUGUCCAAGGAACCAUCAUCACAUGUAAGGUAACACAAAACGGAUCUCAAAUCAACAGACCAAUCCACAAGAUAUGUUCUCAUGUGAAGGAUAGCUUUUUAAUCCAAAUGUCACUACCCUGAAUUAAACUGGAAUUCGCUUAUGGGAAACAACGAAGGGAAAGUUACUUGGAUCUCAAGAGGGUGGCCAUGGAUACCCAUGCGGCGAUCUAUCAUGCAGGAGCCAUCAGUGACUAACAGAGUCGGGAACAUAUCAAAACCAUCGGCUAAACACAGGAAAAUGCAAGACAAGAAGAAGCAAGCGAUACAGACCAGAAUCAACGGGAGCGACCCGACCUAUAGCAGAUUCACCAAAAUCUGGAUCCAGAACCUCUUCACAUUUGUCAUUUUCGAGAAGUACGCUUCUGACUUUGAAACUCGCAGGCAUUAAUCCCUGGCCUGGGCUGUAACAAUCAACCGUUUUCUCCCAACUCUGAUCAAACAAGCGUGUUCGUACCUGCAACUGCAAUGUGUGAAGGAGGAAGUUUCUCACAAUCUCGGGCUCCCCCUUAAGCAAGAAAGCUAGAGCGGAAGGCACAAAGUCCCGUAU
Molecule: long non-coding RNA, 748 nt
Organism: Tarenaya hassleriana
Lineage: Eukaryota; Viridiplantae; Streptophyta; Magnoliopsida; Brassicales; Cleomaceae
Exons: 5
Source: RefSeq, a predicted model, not a curated record